CAUUUAUCUCCUCAUAGUCAUUCUGUGGACCUAGGGAACCACCAGCCUUCCAGCUAUAUGCUAGAAGCCUCGGGGGAUGGUCUGAUUCUUUCCCCUUCGCCUCCCCCAGUACUUUUGGGGAGACAGGUGCUGGCAUACUGACCAUUGACUGGGCAAAGGCUUUUAACCUACCAGAAGUAAUGGCCACCCAGCCACCCCACACUUCUGAGCUUCUGUGAUGCCUCAUCUUGCUGCUUUUCAGCUUGAGAGGACGUAGGAUCACCAUGGAAACAGACCUCCAGGCCUGUCUAUGAGGGGUUGUCAUCGAGACUGGGCUCACUGAGUGUUGGAGUUAUACGCAUGCGCCUCCACACCUAUUUAUGUGGUGCCGGGGAUCAUACCUAGGGCAUCAUGGAUGUCAGGCAGGAUAAUGGUGUUCUUUCUUCUGGCCUGGAACUCUCUGUGACCCGGAACUUGGCAUGCUCCUCCUCUUCACUUUGUGCUAUGCCCAGAGGCUGCCCUUCUGCUCUAGACAGUGCUCUACUGCUAUGAAGAGACACCAUGACCAUGGAAACUCUUAUAAAAGAAAGCACCUGGUUGGGUCUUGUAGUUUCAGAGGGUUAGUCCAUUAUCGUUGUGGCGGAAAUUGUGGUGGUAUGGAAAGGUAGCAGAAAGUUCUACAUCUGGAUCCAUGGGCAGCAGGAAAAGACAGGCAUUGGGCCUGGCUUGAGCACGUGAAACCUCAAAGGCUGCCUCCAGUGACACACUUCCUCCAACAAAGCCACACCUACUCUAAUGAGGCCACAACUCCCUGGUGACCAAGCUUUCAAAUCUACGGGUCUAGGGGGGCCAGUCUCGUUCAAACUACCACAGACUCUUACAGCGAGUCCCUUCCAAACAAAGAAACAUGGAGACAGCAACUCCCCCUUUCGUAGGACUCACCGUUCUUGACUGUUUUUGUGGAGGGUAGCAGAAAUUAAUUCUUUAUCUAUCAAACAAAUUAGACCCUUCUGUCUUUUGCCAUCCGUGUGCUGUAAAAAAGCUCCUGGAAUGACUAAGUGCGUACAGAAACCAGAUCUCCCUCCAUUAGGUAAGUGAACUGUUUCACCUCCUGAUGGAUUGGGCACAUUUGCCAUGACAGGUUCUGAUUUGGGUACACACUCCCCCUCCCCCUCCCCAUUCCCCUCCUCUUCCCCCAACACAGACAUAUGUUGUCCACAGAAAUGAUGAUGCAAACACUAAACAAAGAAUAUGUUUAACCUAGAAUCAGUCACUGCCUUAGAAUAAACGGUGAGGAGGAAGGCUUUGAGUCCUUUAGUGUCUCCUGUUGUCAUAAUUCGAGGUUCUGCUGCUGUGACAAAUCGGUGCAUAAACCAACUUGCGGGGAGCAAAGGAACUGUUUGGAGUACAUCUCCAUAUCACAGCCAUCACUAAAGGGAUGCAAGGCAGAAUCAUGGAGGCAGGAAUUGAAGCAGAAGCCAUGGAGGGGUGCAGCUCACUGCCUUGCUGCCCAUGACUUGCUCAUCCUGUUUUCAUAUACAACCCAGGACUACCAGCCCAAGGAAGGCAAUACCCACAGUGAGAUGGUUUCUCCCUAACCAUUACUUGACAGCGUGCCUCAAAGGCGUGCUAACAAGCCUAUCUGAGGGAGACAACUCUCCCAUCGAGUCUUCCCAGGUGACUCUAGCUUUGUCAUGGUGACAAAACCUGACCAGCAGACCUCUGCCAACCAUAGCCUUCCAACUUUUCUACUGGGGAUGAAAAUGUAUCAGGCCCAUUGUGCAGUCUACAGACUUAUCAUUUAUCUCCAGUCAGAUGAGGGAUAAGGAGAA
This is a long non-coding RNA of Mesocricetus auratus (golden hamster), 1811 nucleotides long. RefSeq lists it as uncharacterized. NCBI's taxonomy places the organism in Eukaryota, Metazoa, Chordata, Mammalia, Rodentia, Cricetidae. The transcript has 3 exons. The record is from RefSeq and is a predicted model, not a curated record.